RNAcentral lists this long non-coding RNA (452 nucleotides) under Oryza brachyantha (malo sina). RNAcentral's name for it is "long non-coding RNA (OBRA_LNC000400)". Lineage: Eukaryota; Viridiplantae; Streptophyta; Magnoliopsida; Poales; Poaceae. The record is from RNAcentral.
AGCACUUAUUUAUGAAAUUAGUUUUUUUAUUAGCCUAUAUUUAAUACUUUAAAUUAGUAUCAAACAUCCGAUAUGACAUAUCCGAUAUGACAUAGUGCUUAAAAAGUUUAGUCCCAUCCAACCCUCAGUAUAGUCAAAAAGUUCAGGCGCCAGCUGCUAUCGUCGCGGCACGUAGUGCCUACCAGGCUAGCUCCCAUUCAUCCCUGGCGGCAAAAUCAGGUGCUCCUCGUCCACUUCGCAAACCAUUGACUUCUAGUCUCAACAGAAUCUGCAUGGCAACGACAAUCCAGUAUUCCACGAUCUUGUCGGCAGAUUGCAGCUGAAGAUGCUUGACGACGACGAUGCAGUACAAGCUUAAGGAUCACAUGGGCAUUGGCAGUAAUCGCAACCCGGCAAUGGCGGCGCUGCUCGAGUGCGUGUCGCCCUUGUUGCUCGCCGUCGUCUUCAUAGCG